GAUGAACGCUGGCGGCAGGCUUAACACAUGCAAGUCGAACGCCCCGCAAGGGGAGUGGCAGACGGGUGAGUAACGCGUGGGAAUCUACCUAGUUCUACGGAACAACAGUUGGAAACGACUGCUAAUACCGUAUACGCCCUACGGGGGAAAGAUUUAUCGGAAUUAGAUGAGCCCGCGUAAGAUUAGCUAGUUGGUGGGGUAAUGGCCUACCAAGGCGACGAUCUUUAGCUGGGCUGAGAGGAUGAUCAGCCACACUGGGACUGAGCCACGGCCCAGACUCCUACGGGAGGCAGCAGUGGGGAAUAUUGGACAAUGGGCGCAAGCCUGAUCCAGCCAUGCCGCGUGAGUGAUGAAGGCCUUAGGGUUGUGAAGCUCUUUCACCGAUGAAGAUAAUGACGGUAGUCGGAGAAGAAGCCCCGGCUAACUUCGUGCCAGCAGCCGCGGUAA
This 447-nucleotide ribosomal RNA is filed under the name uncultured bacterium. RNAcentral describes it as "partial 16S ribosomal RNA". It matches the Rfam family "Bacterial small subunit ribosomal RNA", at positions 28 to 523 of the family's 1533-position model. The record is from RNAcentral.